UCUUGCAAACUAAAGAUGGCGACCGGCGCACGGGUGAGUAACACGUAUCCAACCUGCCGAUAACUCGGGGAUAGCCUUUCGAAAGAAAGAUUAAUAUCCGAUGGUAUACUAAAACCGCAUGGUUUUACUAUUAAAGAAUUUCGGUUAUCGAUGGGGAUGCGUUCCAUUAGUUUGUUGGCGGGGUAACGGCCCACCAAGACUACGAUGGAUAGGGGUUCUGAGAGGAAGGUCCCCCACAUUGGAACUGAGACACGGUCCAA
This 260-nucleotide ribosomal RNA is filed under the name uncultured bacterium. RNAcentral describes it as "partial 16S ribosomal RNA". It matches the Rfam family "Bacterial small subunit ribosomal RNA", at positions 73 to 334 of the family's 1533-position model. The record is from RNAcentral.